UGCCAGCCGCCGCGGUAAUACGGAGGGUGCAAGCAUUGAUCGGAAUUAUUGGGCGUAAAGGGCGCGUAGGCGGCCAGGUAAGUCAGAUGUGAAAUUCCGGGGCUCAACCCCGGAGCUGCAUUUGAAACUGCCUGGCUAGAGUAUAGUUAGGGAAAACGGAAUUCCACGUGUAGCGGUGAAAUGCGUAGAUAUGUGGAAGAACACCGGUGGUGAAGACGGUUUUCUGGGCUAAAACUGACGCUGAGGCGCGAAAGCUAGGGGAGCAAACAGGAUUAGAUA
Molecule: ribosomal RNA, 279 nt
Filed under: uncultured bacterium
Lineage: Bacteria
Description: partial 16S ribosomal RNA
Rfam family: Bacterial small subunit ribosomal RNA
Source: RNAcentral